Molecule: ribosomal RNA, 253 nt
Filed under: uncultured bacterium
Lineage: Bacteria
Description: partial 16S ribosomal RNA
Rfam family: Bacterial small subunit ribosomal RNA
Source: RNAcentral
UACGGAGGGUGCGAGCGUUAAUCGGAAUCACUGGGCGUAAAGCGCGCGUAGGCGGCCGUGUAAGUCAGAUGUGAAAGCCCCGGGCUUAACCUGGGAACUGCAUUUGAUACUGUACGGCUUGAGUCUGAUAGAGGGGGGUGGAAUUCCAGGUGUAGCGGUGAAAUGCGUAGAGAUCUGGUGGAACACCAGUGGCGAAGGCGGCCCCCUGGAUCAAGACUGACGCUGAGGUGCGAAAGAGUGGGGAGCAAACAGG